GUAGGGCGCAAGCGUUGUCCGGAAUUAUUGGGCGUAAAGAGCUCGUAGGCGGUCCGUCGCGUCGGAAGUGAAAACCCGGGGCUUAACCCUGGGCCUGCUUUCGAUACGGGCGGACUAGAGUAUGGCAGGGGAGACUGGAAUUCCUGGUGUAGCGGUGAAAUGCGCAGAUAUCAGGAGGAACACCGGUGGCGAAGGCGGGUCUCUGGGCCAUCACUGACGCUGAGGAGCGAAAGCGUGGGGAGCGAACAGGAUUAGAUACCCUGGUAGUCCACGCCGUAAACGUUGGGCGCUAGGUGUGGGGGUCUUUCCACGACCUCUGUGCCGCAGCUAACGCAUUAAGCGCCCCGCCUGGGGAGUACGGCCGCAAGGCUAAA
RNAcentral lists this ribosomal RNA (374 nucleotides) under uncultured bacterium. RNAcentral's name for it is "bacterial SSU rRNA". It matches the Rfam family "Bacterial small subunit ribosomal RNA", at positions 527 to 898 of the family's 1533-position model. The record is from RNAcentral.